CAGAAACUGAUGUAGAAGGCUCUUUGCUACUCAGAGAGGGAACAGUGUUUCUGCAUUUUUUAUUGUGUUCUUAUUUUCUGCCUUUAUCCAGAUUAAGGUACAUCUGCCCCUACUGUUAUGUUGCACCCAGUGGUCUUGCUGUGGAAAGAGGAGAGGAUUUUUGCUUUCCUCCUUGGGGAAUGCCUUAACCAUGAGAAGGUUAUGGAGCAGCACUGCAAACAAGAUAAUGAGUGAUUAAUGUACUCUGGUAACUCCAUGGGCACGCUGAGCGACACGCCAGCUGCUCCUGCUGAAGCCCAGGGGGGACCAGGUACCAGGGAAGCUGGAAGACCUUCUUGUCAAUCUUCUUGUCACUCGCCUAUUCCCACGACUGUAAUUGUUGAAGAUAUUAACCAUUUUUCAGACGUGGCUACUCGACACAAAGCUUUCAGGAAACCAAACCAGAAAUCUGCAGAGCUGGAAAGUUGAUAUUGGCUGAGAACAGCAGGUAUAGCAGUGAGAAAAUCUUCUUGAUAACCUGGGGCUGCUCCAGGACAGAAGGAAAGGUGCCUCCACUGCCAGGACUGCCCCAUCAGCCACACCACACCGGCCGUGAAAACAUGGCAGGCUCUUCUCCAAGGGUUAAAGUUUUAAGUCACAACUUUCACUGCAGUUUGCACUUAUGCCUAAUUAACUCAAAAUUAAUGGUCCAGCACCUAGUCCAACAGUUACGCUCAAUGGUGCAGAAAAAAAAUCUCUCUUUUAUGUUCGGGAUAAUACUUUUUUCCUAGAACAGUGUUGGUUAGUCUUGAAGACCAAAGAAUUGUAAGCAUAACUUCAGUGUAUACACUUAUUUUGCUUUUGUUUCUUGUGCAAUUGUUGAGCCUUUCCUAAGUAUUGGAAAAGCUAAUCCUUCAAUUUCCAUGUCUUUACAAGUUUCAUUUAAAAAAAUAAAUAAACAUUUUUUU
This 947-nucleotide long non-coding RNA is filed under the name Manacus vitellinus (golden-collared manakin). Its description in RNAcentral is "lncRNA (ENSMVIG00005015282.1)". Lineage: Eukaryota; Metazoa; Chordata; Aves; Passeriformes; Pipridae. The record is from RNAcentral.